Molecule: ribosomal RNA, 659 nt
Filed under: Pseudomonas sp. EECC-509
Lineage: Bacteria; Pseudomonadati; Pseudomonadota; Gammaproteobacteria; Pseudomonadales; Pseudomonadaceae
Description: bacterial SSU rRNA
Rfam family: Bacterial small subunit ribosomal RNA
Source: RNAcentral
GGCGGACGGGUGAGUAAUGCCUAGGAAUCUGCCUGGUAGUGGGGGACAACGUUUCGAAAGGAACGCUAAUACCGCAUACGUCCUACGGGAGAAAGCAGGGGACCUUCGGGCCUUGCGCUAUCAGAUGAGCCUAGGUCGGAUUAGCUAGUUGGUGAGGUAAUGGCUCACCAAGGCGACGAUCCGUAACUGGUCUGAGAGGAUGAUCAGUCACACUGGAACUGAGACACGGUCCAGACUCCUACGGGAGGCAGCAGUGGGGAAUAUUGGACAAUGGGCGAAAGCCUGAUCCAGCCAUGCCGCGUGUGUGAAGAAGGUCUUCGGAUUGUAAAGCACUUUAAGUUGGGAGGAAGGGCUGUAAAUUAAUACUCUGCUGUUUUGACGUUACCGACAGAAUAAGCACCGGCUAACUCUGUGCCAGCAGCCGCGGUAAUACAGAGGGUGCAAGCGUUAAUCGGAAUUACUGGGCGUAAAGCGCGCGUAGGUGGUUUGUUAAGUUGGAUGUGAAAUCCCCGGGCUCAACCUGGGAACUGCAUCCAAAACUGGCAAGCUAGAGUAUGGUAGAGGGUGGUGGAAUUUCCUGUGUAGCGGUGAAAUGCGUAGAUAUAGGAAGGAACACCAGUGGCGAAGGCGACCACCUGGACUGAUACUGACACUGAGGU